CUCCCGGUGGCCAAGCUGGUUUAAGGCGCGAGACUGUAAUGUUAUCUUGAGAUCGGGCGUUCGACUCGCCCCCGGGAGA
Molecule: transfer RNA, 79 nt
Filed under: Yarrowia sp. C11
Lineage: Eukaryota; Fungi; Ascomycota; Dipodascomycetes; Dipodascales
Also listed under: 1 other name
Description: tRNA-Tyr
Rfam family: tRNA
About the family: Transfer RNA (tRNA) molecules are approximately 80 nucleotides in length.
Source: RNAcentral